CCUACGGGUGGCAGCAGUGGGGAAUAUUGCGCAAUGGGCGAAAGCCUGACGCAGCGACGCCGCGUGAGGGAUGAAGGUCUUCGGAUCGUAAACCUCUGUCAGCAGGGAAGAACGGUCACUGUGCUAAUCAGCAGUGAAUUGACGGUACCUGCAAAGGAAGCACCGGCUAACUCCGUGCCAGCAGCCGCGGUAAUACGGAGGGUGCGAGCGUUAAUCGGAAUUACUGGGCGUAAAGCGCUCGUAGGCGGUAUGUCAAGUCAAGGGUGAAAUCCCCGGGCUCAACGUGGGAACUGCCUUUGAAACUGGGAGACUGGAGUGUGUGAGAGGGUAGUGGAAUUCCAGGUGUAGGAGUGAAAUCCGUAGAUAUCUGGAGGAACAUCAGUGGCGAAGGCGACUAUCUGGCACAUAACUGACGCUGAGGCGCGAAAGCGUGGGUAGCGAACAGGAUUAGAUACCCCUGUAGUC
This 465-nucleotide ribosomal RNA is filed under the name uncultured bacterium. RNAcentral's name for it is "partial 16S ribosomal RNA". It matches the Rfam family "Bacterial small subunit ribosomal RNA", at positions 338 to 795 of the family's 1533-position model. The record is from RNAcentral.